GGCGGACGGGUGAGGAAUACAUCGGAAUCUACUCUGUCGUGGGGGAUAACGUAGGGAAACUUACGCUAAUACCGCAUACGACCUACGGGUNAAAGCAGGGAUCUUCGGACCUUGCGCGAUUGAAUGAGCCGAUGUCGGAUUAGCUAGUUGGCGGGGUAAAGGCCCACCAAGGCGACAAUCCGUAGCUGGUCUGAGAGGAUGAUCAGCCACACUGGAACUGAGACACGGUCCAGACUCCUACGGGAGGCAGCAGAC
This 255-nucleotide ribosomal RNA is filed under the name uncultured Stenotrophomonas sp. RNAcentral describes it as "partial 16S ribosomal RNA". It matches the Rfam family "Bacterial small subunit ribosomal RNA", at positions 97 to 354 of the family's 1533-position model. The record is from RNAcentral. Lineage: Bacteria; Pseudomonadati; Pseudomonadota; Gammaproteobacteria; Lysobacterales; Lysobacteraceae.